Molecule: transfer RNA, 73 nt
Filed under: Sus scrofa (pig)
Lineage: Eukaryota; Metazoa; Chordata; Mammalia; Artiodactyla; Suidae
Rfam family: tRNA
About the family: Transfer RNA (tRNA) molecules are approximately 80 nucleotides in length. Their secondary structure includes four short double-helical elements and three loops (D, anti-codon, and T loops).
Source: Rfam by way of RNAcentral
UCCCUGGUAGCCUAGUGGCUAAGGAUCCAGCAUUGUCACUGCUGUGUUACACGUUCGAGUCCUGGCCUGGGAA